CUGCAAUGACGGCAACAUUUUUCAUCAACAGCAAUUCACCUUGAGCGUUGAGACCUUGGGUCUGAGUGG
Molecule: small nucleolar RNA, 69 nt
Organism: Phyllostomus discolor (pale spear-nosed bat)
Lineage: Eukaryota; Metazoa; Chordata; Mammalia; Chiroptera; Phyllostomidae
Product: small nucleolar RNA SNORD56
Exons: 1
Source: RefSeq, a predicted model, not a curated record